RNAcentral lists this ribosomal RNA (234 nucleotides) under uncultured bacterium. Its description in RNAcentral is "partial 16S ribosomal RNA". It matches the Rfam family "Bacterial small subunit ribosomal RNA", at positions 122 to 354 of the family's 1533-position model. The record is from RNAcentral.
CAACCUGCCUAUCAGAGGGGAAUAACAGUGAGAAAUCAUUGCUAAUACCGCAUAAGCUAGUAGUAUCGCAUGAUAUAGCUAGAAAAGGAGCAAUCCGCUGAUAGAUGGGCUUGCGUCUGAUUAGCUAGUUGGUGGGGUAACGGCCUACCAAGGCGACGAUCAGUAGCCGGACUGAGAGGUUGAACGGCCACAUUGGGACUGAGAUACGGCCCAGACUCCUACGGAAGGCAGCAG